GCCAGGCACAGUGGUGCAUGCCUGUAAUCCCAGUGGCUCUGGAGGCUGAGUCAGGAGGAUCUCAAGUUCAAAAUCCAGCCCCAGCAAGAAUGAGGCACUUAGCAACCCAGUGAGACCGUGUCUCUA
Molecule: small RNA, 126 nt
Filed under: Marmota monax (woodchuck)
Lineage: Eukaryota; Metazoa; Chordata; Mammalia; Rodentia; Sciuridae
Source: RNAcentral